This 815-nucleotide ribosomal RNA is filed under the name Epicoccum nigrum. RNAcentral's name for it is "partial 28S ribosomal RNA". It matches the Rfam family "Eukaryotic large subunit ribosomal RNA", at positions 68 to 901 of the family's 3401-position model. The record is from RNAcentral. Lineage: Eukaryota; Fungi; Ascomycota; Dothideomycetes; Pleosporales; Didymellaceae.
ACAGGGAUUGCCCUAGUAACGGCGAGUGAAGCGGCAACAGCUCAAAUUUGAAAUCUGGCGUCUUUGGCGUCCGAGUUGUAAUUUGCAGAGGGCGCUUUGGCAUUGGCAGCGGUCCAAGUUCCUUGGAACAGGACGUCACAGAGGGUGAGAAUCCCGUACGUGGUCGCUAGCCUUUACCGUGUAAAGCCCCUUCGACGAGUCGAGUUGUUUGGGAAUGCAGCUCUAAAUGGGAGGUAAAUUUCUUCUAAAGCUAAAUACUGGCCAGAGACCGAUAGCGCACAAGUAGAGUGAUCGAAAGAUGAAAAGCACUUUGGAAAGAGAGUUAAAAAGCACGUGAAAUUGUUGAAAGGGAAGCGCUUGCAGCCAGACUUGCCUGUAGUUGCUCAUCCGGGUUUUUACCCGGUGCACUCUUCUACGGGCAGGCCAGCAUCAGUUUGGGCGGUUGGAUAAAGGUCUCUGUCAUGUACCUCCUCUCGGGGAGAUCUUAUAGGGGAGACGACAUGCAACCAGCCUGGACUGAGGUCCGCGCAUCUGCUAGGAUGCUGGCGUAAUGGCUGUAAGCGGCCCGUCUUGAAACACGGACCAAGGAGUCUAACAUCUAUGCGAGUGUUUGGGUGUCAAGCCCGAACGCGUAAUGAAAGUGAACGGAGGUGGGAACCUUUCGGGGUGCACCAUCGACCGAUCCUGAUGUCUUCGGAUGGAUUUGAGUAAGAGCAUAGCUGUUGGGACCCGAAAGAUGGUGAACUAUGCUUGAAUAGGGUGAAGCCAGAGGAAACUCUGGUGGAGGCUCGCAGCGGUUCUGACGUGCAAAUCGA